CCUACGGGUGGCUGCAGUGAGGAAUAUUGGUCAAUGGGCGCGAGCCUGAACCAGCCAAGUAGCGUGAAGGAUGACUGCCCUACGGGUUGUAAACUUCUUUUAUAAGGGAAUAAAGUGAGGCACGUGUGCCUUUUUGUAUGUACUUUAUGAAUAAGGAUCGGCUAACUCCGUGCCAGCAGCCGCGGUAAUACGGAGGGUCCGAGCGUUAUCCGGAUUUAUUGGGUUUAAAGGGAGCGUAGAUGGGUUGUUAAGUCAGUUGUGAAAGUUUGCGGCUCAACCGUAGAAUUGCAGUGGAUACUGGCAGGCUUGAGUACAGUUGAGGUAGGCGGAAUUCGUGGUGUAGCGGUGAAAUGCUUAGAUAUCACGAAGAACGCCGAUUGCGAAGGCAGCUUACUAAACUGCCACUGACAUUGAUGCUCGAAAGUGUGGGUAUCAAACAGGAUUAGAUACCCUUGUAGUC
Molecule: ribosomal RNA, 460 nt
Filed under: uncultured bacterium
Lineage: Bacteria
Description: partial 16S ribosomal RNA
Rfam family: Bacterial small subunit ribosomal RNA
Source: RNAcentral